AUACAAGAGAUAUUAUUUAAUAUUUUUGGUUAAUAAAGGUAUAAACUUACUUGAACAUAUUAUAUUAAUUUUUAAGUGAAAUUUGAAUAAUAUUUAAUUUCAUUAAUUAUCUCUUUUAAAAUCAAAGUAGAAACUAGGAUUAGAUACCCUAUUAUUUUGUUUGUAAAGUUAUACCUGGGUAGUAGUAGUUAUUUUCUUUAAACCCAAAGAAUUUGGCGGUAUUUUAUUCCUAUUAGAGGAAUUUGUUCAAUAAUCGAUAACCCCCGUUUUAUCUUACUUGAUUUAGUAUAUUCAGUAUGUAUACCUCCGUUAUAGGUUUAUUUUUUUAGAAUUAUUUACAUUUUAAUUUAUUAUUUAUUAUUUCA
RNAcentral lists this ribosomal RNA (365 nucleotides) under Oncotophasma sp. Its description in RNAcentral is "partial 12S ribosomal RNA". Lineage: Eukaryota; Metazoa; Arthropoda; Insecta; Phasmatodea; Diapheromeridae. The record is from RNAcentral.